AGCGAACGCUGGCGGCAGGCCUAACACAUGCAAGUCGAACGAACUCUUCGGAGUUAGUGGCGGACGGGUGAGUAACACGUGGGGACGUGCCUUUUUGUUCGGAAUACCUCAGGGAAACUUGUGCUAAUACCGAAUGUGCCCUUCUGGGGAAAGAUUUAUCGCCCUUAGAGCGGCCCGCGUCUGAUUAGCUAGUUGGUGAGGUAACGGCGCACCAAGGCGACGAUCAGUAGCUGGUCUGAGAGGAUGACCAGCCACACUGGGACUGAGACACGGCCCAGACUCCUACGGGAGGCAGCAGUGGGGAAUCUUGCGCAAUGGGCGAAAGCCUGACGCAGCCAGGCCGCGUGAAUGAUGAAGGUCUUAGGAUUGUAAAAUUCUUUCACCGGGGACGAUAAUGACGGUACCCGGAGAAGAAGCCCCGGCUAACUUCGUG
This 433-nucleotide ribosomal RNA is filed under the name uncultured bacterium. Its description in RNAcentral is "partial 16S ribosomal RNA". It matches the Rfam family "Bacterial small subunit ribosomal RNA", at positions 29 to 507 of the family's 1533-position model. The record is from RNAcentral.